UACAGUCAGCAUGGCAAUUGCACACUUCCUCAAAACUUGAGACAUCUUUGACAUUGUGUUGUGUGACAAAACUGCACAUUUUUAGAGUGGCCUUUUAUUGUCCCCAACACAAGGUGCACCUGUGUAAUGAUCAUGCUGUCAGGUGCAUAGAUUAUUUUGGUAAAGGAGAAAUGCUCACUAACAGUGAUGUAAACCAAUUUGUGCACAAAUUUGAGGGAAAUAAGCUUUUUGUACGCGUGGAACAUUUCUGGGAUGUUUUAUUUAAGCUCAUGAAACAUGGGAUCAACACAUUACAUGUUGCAUUUUUGUUCAGUAUAAAUUAGGGCCUGCCCUAUACAGACGAUGCUUAAUUUGAUAGAGCCAGACACAGGCAGGGUGGAAGUGGUAGCCUACAUCUCUGAGGGAGGGAGGGCUGGGUCUUGUGUUAGACAUCAGAAAGUAAAACCACAGCACGGCUUAUGUGCUAAAUCUACGGAAGCUAGUUGAAGCAAUAACAGACAAGAAACCUAACACACUUCCUGUCAGAAAUCAGAAGAAUUUUGUUGUAAAAGAUGCUUUCAAAUGUUGCCGAAACGUGUCUCUUGGUAAAUUGACUAACUUAAAAGGCACAGAAAUCUUAUGACAUAUAGUUUGACUUUACCUAUUACCUAGAGAAGAUGGAACAGAACUUUGCUGAUUUGUUAACGGAUGCAUUUUCAGACACAUCCCUCCCAUCUUUCCCUGAAGGAGGGUUUGACUUUGAGCCUCUUGAUUUUGAUGAAGCCAAGACAGAAAUGUCCUCUGGAAGAUUACCAGUGCUGAGAGAGGAAGAGGAAGAUGUGGAUGAAGGACAGGAAGAGGAAGAGCCUGGUGGAGAAACUGGAACUGUACCUGACCCUAUCUCAGUGAAGACAUAUGAUGUGAGUUUGACUGAAGAGGAUACACAACAUAUUGAUGAUGAGGAGAAGUGGGAGGAGGAGGAAGAGGAAGAGGAGGGCAAGGAGGAGGAAGAGGAGGGCAAGGAGGAGGAGGGCAAGGAAGAGGAAGAGGAGGGCAAGGAGGAGGAAGAGGAGGGCAAGGAAGAGGAGGAGGAAGAUGAAGAGAUCACCUCAGGAGAAGAAGAGGACACAGGAAUAGAGAACAUUGGCUCCCCAGGGGGUAGGUCUGUGGUUGUUCACUACGACAAAGAAAAUAUCGUAACUACAGGACAACCUUUUGCCCAAGAGGAUAGGGAAAACCCUAACAUCAGAAACAUAGAGCAAGGUACUUACGAGAACAGUGAUGUGGGUUGUUUUGAGGGUGUUACUGAAGAUGACACCAUGGAGAUCACAGCAGAUAUAAGUGAAGGGAUUAAAGAAGAGGAGAGACUGGCAGCUGAAGAAAACCAAGAGAAAUCAUCUGAUUCAGACCUGGAGGUCCUGACAAGCUCUAUCACUGAAAACCAGAGAGAAGAGGGAAAGAAAGGAGUGAACUUACUCUCCCCACAUUUUCCCCAGGAGAAUGAAGAGGAAGAAGAGCAAGAUGAACCUGGAGCUCCAGAGAUUGUUUCUGAUUGUCCUGAUCCCGCAGCAACACAGAAUCUGCUAUCUAUUAUGGUCAAUACCUUUGUGGAACACCCGCUUGAGGCGAAAAUUAAGGACUUCCUAGGGGAUGACCACCAAGAGGCAGGUGAAAGCUUUGCAGAUUACCCCUCUGACUUCUUUCCAAGUGAAUACGACAAGGAUGGAGGGAAAGGGAGAGAGCGAAACAAAAAUGGGAGCACACUGUCUAGUCCCUCUGAGGGUCAUUUAAAGAUAGACGAGAAUGUCGACCCAGAGAGAGAGACAACCGAGCAGAAGGAUAGCCAUGUACAGGGAGAGGAAGAUGAAAAGGUUGAUGUGAGACCUGCUAUCUCUCUGAGCGUAGAAGGCAAACAAGAUUUUGCAGAUUGUGCGAUGUGUAAUAUCAAUAUUGACAUUAGCAUGAAGAAGAUUAUUGAAAACAAUCUUGAAGCUGAUAGUUCCAGUGAUAGUUCCAGUGAUAGCUCCACUGAUAGCUCCAGUGAUAGUUCCAGUGAGGAUGAGAAGGAUAAUGAAGAACACCCAGCCCUGCCAAGAUACCAGGGUCUUCCUCAGAGAGACUGCAGAUCUGAUGUUUUACCUCUACCUGACUGGGAGGGUGGAGAGGAGAACAUCUCCAAGCAGAGUGUUGCCGACCUGCAUCUUUCAGACACCAUCUCUGAUGUCCCCACUUUUACCCUUCACAGUGAGGCUGGACUCAGUACAGCAGAUGUAACCAGGUGUAACAGGGGUAAGAGGAGUACAGGCAACAUGUCAUCAUCUGACUCUGAGGAUAAUUUUCCGGGAGAAUUUUGUACGUUGGAGACUGAACUAAGAAAGGACAAAGGGGAGACUUGGAUUUGGGGUAAAGAGGAGUAUCUUCGAGAAAUCCAGCCGGAGCUAGAAGGAAAGUUGGAGAACCACCUUCACACCAAUAUAAACUGGGACACAGGGGAAAAUAAGGUGGACAGGAGUGGUUUCAUUCUAGAUUACCAGUACGAGGGGAGCAGAAUCACAGUCGGAGAGGAACAAUUUGCAGAUGAUGAAGAAGAGGAGGAGAGGAGUUGGAAACAAGAGAGAGUGAGAAUCGAGGCAUUCUACAAGUUUUAUAAUGACGAAGAGAAGGAGGCCAUGGAAACAGAAGGUGCUUUUUCAAGGAGGAAGCCUAGAGUUCAGUUCUGCAUGGAUCCCCUGCAUCAAGUCAUUGAAUAUACAGACAGCAGCAGUGACACGGAUUUGGUCGACGGCACAUCUGACAGAGAUGAGGACCUGGAUUCUACAGCAAGGCUUGAAGAGCAGCGUGAGCCUGAGACUCAAGAGAGUCAAAAGCCACAAGGAGAACUACAAGAUCUCAGCAAAAUACCUCGGACACACAGCAAGAGAGACUGGGUAAGUCUUUACCCCACAACUUUCUGUAAAAAAAAAGGGCUUCAUGAAAUUGAUGGGAUUACUCUGACACACUGUGUUUGUGUAGUGUCUGAGGGUGCUGAAGUUCCUGCUGAAGAUGGCCCUUUUGACAUUGAUUGGACUUUUGACAUUCUGGUGGACAACAGACCUAAAGGACUUGGACUGGUGAUCUGGACCAAAUACAGUUUUUUGCAAACGACUGUACUGUAUUGUCAAUAUGCCUAUGCCUGA
Oncorhynchus kisutch (coho salmon) is the source of this 3155-nucleotide long non-coding RNA. The record is from Ensembl. Lineage: Eukaryota; Metazoa; Chordata; Actinopteri; Salmoniformes; Salmonidae.